Neofelis nebulosa (Clouded leopard) is the source of this 4129-nucleotide long non-coding RNA. RefSeq lists it as uncharacterized. Lineage: Eukaryota; Metazoa; Chordata; Mammalia; Carnivora; Felidae. The record is from RefSeq and is a predicted model, not a curated record. The transcript is spliced from 2 exons.
UUCAAUCAGAGCCCAAAGGUCCAAAAAGACCAGUGCCCCAGCUUGACUGUCACAUAUGAACAGUUCCUUCUUACAUAUUUUUUGUUCUAUUCAGGUCUUUCUUGACUGGAUGGGUCCUACCCACACUGGAGUGGGUGGACAGGGAAUCUCUUUUACUCAGUCUACCCAUUCAAAUGUUAAUCUCAUCCAAAUACAUAGACACACCCAGAAUGAUGUUAGACCAAAUGUCUGGGCACUCUGUGGCUCCGUCAGGUUGACACAGAAAAUUAAUCAUCACUGGCUGAGGGGGUAAAAAAUUUGCUAAAAGGCACAUAGAGGUGAAUGAAUGUAUUUCUAUGUCUCAAAGCUUGAAUCUUUCCCUUGCACCUCAUUGGCCCUUAUGAUUUCCUAAGUUGUCCUUCUGUGUGGAACAGUAUAUAUUUUAAUAAUGUGAUUUCUUUUUUUUUUCCUAAAGACUUUAGGAGUUACCCAGCAACUUUAUUUCUUGCUAUUCCCCAGUGUGCAAAUUCCGACUCAUUUAAGCUUAUGUCAUUGUCUGUUACGUAUUUAUGAUCAAUUGUAUACCCAUGACUGUGAGUCAUAUUACUUUAACAUGCUAUGGAAACCUCUACCCUGCUUUUAGAUCUGUCAUCCAUCUAUGAUCACCUGAACUUUUUUAAAGCGCUGACCAAAUGUUGGAAACUGGCAAAUACUGAUAAAAUAGAGAUCUAUCAUUCUGCUUUCUGUACCUGGAGACUGACCUGCAUAGACUACAUCAUCAAGACUGCCCUCUGACUUCUGGCUGCAUAAGGACAUUAGGAAGACUUGGCAGAAAUUAGAAGGAAAGAAGAGUGUCAGAUCUGAGUGUUAAUUCCCUGGCUUCAUCAAAGGACACUGGUCUUCAUGAGAAGGCAGACUCUCCGUGAUUCUCCUUUUGGGUUCCAAUAAAUACUCCCCUCUUCUAUCUGUGAGGCUUAGGGGUUAUAAGAACUCAGCAGCUAAGAUUUCCAAGUUCUUUGUGGCUCCUCCAUAUCCAUAUCUUUGAUGAUAGGCCCUUUGUAAAUAAAUUCUUCUUGAAUUCUAGGGUGAAUGGGUUACCAUUUCUCUUGGAACCCUGGCUGAUACAUCAUGGAAUCUUCAAAAAAAUCCUAUCAAAAAUAUACCAUUAUUGCCCCAUUUUAAAAAUGAAGACAGUAGAUGGGCUUCAGGAGUUUGCUGAAAAUCACUCCUCUUGUGAGUAGAGUAGCUGGGAUUAGAACCCUGGAAGUCCAGCUUUUGAAAUCAUGCCCUUAAUCACCACAUUAAACCUUAAUGAACAAUCCUUGUUCUGAAUGAAUCCCCUACCUACAACAACCUAGUUCAAGUCCCUUUUCCACAGAAACCUUCCCAUUUUGUUUGACCACGAUUGUUUUAUGAUUCCUAACUCUCAAAUUGAGAGUCAUCCUCAAAUCUUAUGUAUAUACACUUGUUCUAUGGUCCCAGAAAGAGCUUAUUUGUUGUGAGGGGGUAGAGACCACUGGUUCCCUUUUUCACUUCUGAGCAAGUAGCUCAAUCCUAGGAACAGGGCACAUUCUUUAUUUUUUAUUUUUUUAAAAUGUUUAUUUAUUUUUGAAGGGGAGAGAGAUAGAAUGUGAGUGGGGGAGGGGCAGAGAGAGAGGGAGACACAGAAUCCGAAACGGGCUCCAGGCUCUGAGCUGUCAGCAUAGGGCCUGAUGCAGGGCUCAAACUCAUGAGCCAUGAGAUCAUGACCUGAGCCAAAGGGGGUGACUUAACCAACUGAGCCACCCAGGCACUCCAGAACAUGGCACAUUCUUAAUAAAUAUUUGCUGAUUGAUUCAAAAGUUUACUUACACUCUAUAAAUAAAUAACACAACAAGGAAUAUUUUCUUGAAAGUGUCAGAAUAUGGAAAGAAGUAGGCCGAUAAAGUUGAGUGGCAAAAUCAUGGGUCUGGAGGCUCUUCCAACUCUUCUUUUCCAGCAAUGUGACUUUGAAGGAGCCAUUUAACUUUUUUGGGCCUAUUUCUGUGAAGGUAACUACCAUGUUGUGUCUCCGGUGUCUAACAUGAAUCUUGGCAUCAAUUAGACACUUGGAAAAUAUGUUUUAAACGAAUGAAUAAAUGUGUAUUUUUUAAAGUAAACCUUACCCCAUGGUUUCCAUAUUUCCCAUACCCAGUUUCCCCUAUUAUUAACAUCUUCCUUUAGCAUGGCACAUUUGUUAUAAUUAAUGAUUAAUUAUUUAUUAUUAAUGAUUAAUAAUUCACUAUGAUUAUGAACUAACAUUUAAGCUUUAUUAAAAUUUCCUUCAUUUUCACUUAAUGUCCUUUUUGUUGUCAUUGUUACAGGUGCCUGUCAGGAUACUACAUUACAUUUCAUUGUCAUGACUCAGACUUUUUUUGUUCUUGAAGACCUUGACUGUUUGGAGUGGUAUUGGUCAGGUGUUUUGUAGGAUGUUGCUCUUUUGGGAUUUGUCUGAUGUUUUUCUCAUGAUUAUAGUGGGGUUGUGGGUAUUUUCAUUACAUUGCAUCAAGGCCACAUACUAUCAACCUGACUUAUCACGUUGUUAUUGACCCUGAUCAUUGUUGCUGAGGUAAUGUUUGUCAGGUUUCUUCACUGUAAAGUUUUCUUCCUUUCUAUACUGUUGAAGAAAGUCACCAUGCUCAACUCAUACUCAGGGAAUGGGAGUUAUAGUCUACCUUCCUGAAGCAAAGUACCUACAUAAGUUAUAUGGAAUUCUUCCACAUUAUUUGUCUCUUAUUCCCCAUUAAUUCAAUCCUUUAUUGUUAUCAGUGUGGAUUCCUGGAUAUUUAUUUUAUACUUUGGGUGAUAAUCCAAUACUACUGUAUUUUAUCACUCAUAUUGUUCCAGCUUUGACCAUUCAGAGCUCUUUUGAUUAGCUCUUGGAUCUCUUUGACAUAUCCCCAUCAUUGUGGUUUGAUUUUUUUCCCCCUAGAAUUCCCAUACUUUCUGGAAAUUUAUGAUGCUCUAAGCUCAUUUUGUAUAUUUCCUGUUUCAAUCUUAGAAUCAACCAUUUCUCCAAGGAGCCCUGUUUCCUUUCAUUGGAAAUGGUAUUAGAAACCAAGAUUUGAGCACAGGGUAUACUCAAUGAGAGUAAGGAAUGGAAUAAGGAAUAGCAAAUGUUUCCCAAAUAAGGGUCCCAUGCCCCCAAAAAACCCAAAAUGAUUUGUGGUGCCUCGAAGGUGCUGUCCACUGGAUGACAUGGAGAAGGUGUUUAUACCUUUACACCUUUAUACCUUCUUACCUUUACUUUCUUGUAAUCUUUAUGUUCAAAGAGAAAAUUUUCAUUUGAUCCUGGCAACAUCAGAUUUGGGAAUUUACUUCUCUAGCAAAGUGAGUAGACCUCAGACAUUGAACUUCAAGCAAGCAAAAACAUCUAACUAGAAUAUAACAAUAUUAUUUUGUCUUGCUUGUGUUCAUUUAUAUUAUCAUCUUCAAUUUACGGAAAAAUUCAACUAGUCCAUUUCUAAUAGCAGUGUAUAUUUUUUCCUCUUAAAAGAUGCUAAGUAAAAAAUGUAAAUAAAUUUAUAGAAAAAAGUAGCAUGUCAGUGGUUGAUAUAAUGUGGAGGAAAUGGAGAGUAAAUAAUUUGAGUUUGGAAACAAUUUAGAAGGAAUAAUCUUGAGAAUCUCUUACAGCUCUAGAAUUUGAUAUCUAUGUCAGCCAGCAUUUGUGAUCUCACACCCAUAGCUGUGUGCAAUUUGUGAGAGAGGGAAUAUUUUGAAUCUGAAUCACAGAAGGAAAGAGAGGACACUGUUGAGAACAUUGAAAUGCAUACAGUCAUUUUCUUGCAGUUGUUCUUAGCCCUGGAUCUAUCAGCCCUAACAACCAGGCGCUGGCAGAGGGUCAGGUGAGAAAUGCUGGGUAGUACCUCAAGGGAGCUGAGACCUUGAGAUCAGAGAACUACAAACCAACGGGAAAGUUGAUUCUAGUAGCAUCAAUGGAUAUCCUCAAAAUGCUCAUGAAAAAUGAAAAUAUAAAGCAAAUAAUUGUGACAAGCAUAUUGUCUAAUUAAGAUGAAUGGGACAUGCUUCUUAUGCAUUUUUAAUCUGUUAAAUAAACAGCAUAUUAAUAAGGCUUAAUUAUAGCACCACAUACUUAAAGUGACUUUCUAAAAUAAAGUUUGUUUUGAUUUAA